UGACAUUUUUCCAAAGAACAGUGCUUGAAAUGACCUCCAAGUAUGUUUUCUUAUUUUAACUUUUUGGAUUAGAAUAACAACUUUUAAAUAUUGAUCGCUUUAUUUAUGGAUUAUGUCGACUUUAAUGAUGCGAAAGGACUUCCGAUUUUUCUUAAUGUCUUAAUUUUUUAUAUUGUGUUUGUUAGUCAGGUCAUUGUUAAUGGUUAAUAGUAAAUGGACUAUGUUUAUAUAGCAUAUUCUCCAGUUCUUUGACUGACUCAAAGCAUGCUUACAUUACACAUCACAUUCACCCAUUCACACCACAUUCACAGACUGAUGGCAGGGGCUGCUUUGUAAAGAGCUCAUCAGCUAGACUUAUUCACAUGGUCUCGUGGCCUUAAACAACUUUCCACACUGUGGAAAAAUAAAGUUCAUUCAUUCAUUCAUUCAUUCAUUCAUUCAUCUAUUGAGACUAUGUUAUGUGUUCAUCAGUAUAAUCAAUCCCAUUCACAUUAUAUUCACAUACCCCUAAUACAAUUUGAGGUUCAGUGCAUCUGGCCUAUAGGGGUAGGAGGUUUUUGAGAAACUUUACCUCUGAUCUACUGCUACUCUUAGGUAUAUCACUGAGUCUUGAGAGUAUUGAUUGAUUGAUUGAUUGAUUGAUUGGUUUGUUUGUAUAUUUAUUCCUUAUGCCUUAAAUAAAUUGUCAGUCUAAAAGUUGCUUUUGAGCUCUAACUCAGUGAUUACGCCGUACGUCUUUAAGACUAACACUAGAUGUCACUGUAUGACUUAAAAAGAUUCCUAACAGACCUGAGUCUGCCUGCACAUCUGAGCUUUGAGAUUCAUAAUACUUAUUUUGAUUUUCAGGACAGGACACAUAAGCUAAACUAAGAGAAAAGAGAAAAAAAUAAACUGAGAUCAUUUUUUUAAGUAUACCAAAAUUUAUACUCAAUAUAUAUGAAAAAAAAAAAUGCAUACAUGAUUUUCCAGCUGGACAGUUACUUAAGAAAGAUAAGUGACACAUGUCUCUAGAGUGUUGGCUAGGGUCAUCAGAGUCUUGUCUGCAUCAUAUCCUCCUAACACUAAAGCAAAGCGAGUGUUUUGUACAUGAAAUAAUGUGUGUGUGUGUGUGUGUGUGUGUGUGUGUGUGUGUGUGUGUGUGUGUGUGUGUGUGUGUGUGUGUGUUUGUGUUUUUGUCUUAUCCAAGUCUGGAGGGACAAAUUAGAAUGAGGAACUCAUGGCCAGUCAGCGUCUGAUUCAGAUCCCGGUGGUUCCUCAAAAGACAUCUGGGUUGAUCAUCUCCUGAUGUCUCAUACUUCACCUAUUUUCCUUAUCGCUUCCAGUAGUUUCUAUGACUUAUGGUGUGCUGAGUUUAAAAGCUGCUCAUCAGUUUGGAAAAACACUUGAGAUAAGGUUGAUUUUGUAUGAUAUAUGAAAUUUUCUUGAAUAUAUAAACUUGAGUCCUUUCUUUGUAGUAUGAGAAAUGUUGUACUUAGAUUCAGACAGCCUGCUCAGUUUGAAUGCGUGUGGCAGGAUGACACAAGUAACAUGGUCAGUGAAAAGAAGGGAUCUCUCUGCCUGCUUCUCUCUUUCUCCCUCUGUCCCACUUUUUUGAUAUCUCCUUUUCCCCAGGCUCCUUGUCUUCCUCGAUUCAUGCAUAUGGCAGACUUUGUGACCGUAAUUUCAAUUUAAAACACAUGAGGGGAAAUCCUAGCCCGCGCUGCUCUUUAAUGGGCCGUCAUGGGAUUGGAGUAUGCAGAGAAUGAUUGAAUUUUGUGAGAAGGCCAGGAACGAUCAAGUCUCGCCUUCCGUUAUGCAAUCGACCAUUCCCCUCUCACAACGCGACGUCUGGUAAAACCUUGAGGAGCAGGAGGGGGGCUCGGGGCUGGAAACCUCAACGUCUAGACCAAACUAGAGAAAAAUAUUUUUUCUUCUAAAUGACUCACGGCUAUAUAAAAAGAGAAACUCAGCUAUCAUAUAAAAACUGAGGCAAAUGAGAAGUGAUCUGCCACAUCAAACGGAGAUAUGGUGAAUUGGUCUGCUUUUAAUGGUUGUAAAUGAGUCUUUUUACACUGUAAUGCAUGACAUCCUAUAUUUCCUCACAGACGGAAACAUAUGGAUCCCAUACAAAGCCUGCCAUACUGUUUUAUUUAUAUGAUUGUGUCAUGUCUGUUUUUGCCCUUGAGUAUCUCCACCUGCUCAGCCCACUUUGACAACGUCAAGAUAAAAACUUUUACAAUCUGCUUACUCCACUGCCCUGAAAUUACCACUUUCUGAAAACUUUUUUGCACCCGCUGUGUUGGAUAACACCGCUGUGAUAUAUCGUUUCAAUGAAGCAACAGAGACUACCUUUCCCGUUAUGUCCAUUAUAUUCAAAUGGCCCGGGCCCUUUUGUUUUUUCUUCUUCACAACAAGACAUAAAGUAAUCAAAAGUUAAAAGCAAACACUCAAGGAGGCACUUAGCAAAAAAGAAAAGCUUUUAUGAUAAAACAUUCAUAUACCGUGCAGGAGACAGGUAAUCUUUGAGGAUGAUAGGGUUGUCUUGUGGUCAGUUUCAGUAUAGUAUGGCUUGGGGAGCCUUGUAGAUGAACGCUCCUAAUAACAUCCCCGCCCACCCAUCAUCCAGCCGAGCGUCCAGGCAAAACAACUAAUACCUGAGUGUAUUUCUUCAGUGGUGUGAAGUAGGCCUUAAAGAGCUGUUGGAGGCUGCAGUAAAGUAGGGUUCAUUACCUUGACAGACUGAUGACAGCUCAGAUGGGCUGAGAUAUGCACACACUCGCACAUAAAUACUGAAUUAAAGGCUAAAUAAUUUGCUUUCAAAGCUCCUUCCUCUUUACACAAACAGAGGGAUCUUUUCUUUAAAAACUCCGAGCUACAGUCAGAGGAGAGGAGACAUCAGUGGGAUCUGGAUCUCCUGGAGCAACGUUACUUUAUUCUAAAUUCUCCAUUUGAAAGUCAUUUGCUGGAGGCAACUAAAUCAAUAUUUGAUAAACAUGAUGCAGAGGCAGAUAAUUCUGAUCUUGAGAAGUUUGGUGGGAAAAGGUCUUAAAAGAACAGAAGUGGGAGAUGGAUGGCUUAUUGCUGGGCGUAGGAUGAGAAGAAUGAAACCUGUCUGCAAGGUCACAGCCAGCCACUUAGCUUAGCUUAGCUUAGCUAAGCUUAAAAUUCAAAGAAAAGAAAAAAAAGGCCUGAAGAACAACUUUUUUCUAAAGAAAUAGAGAAAAAUCAUACCAUUAAUACCCAAGUUAAAAGAAACAACUUUGAAUCAGUUGAAAACAUCCUAGUUUAUCUAAUGAAUGUCUAUCACCUGGCUCCGCCAAGGUUGGCUAGUUUUGCUGGGAGUAUCCUAUUUACCUUAGAGCAGUGAAUCUUCAUCUUUUGGUAGGGAAGCAAAAACUGUCUGUGCCAGAUUAUCAUGUUGUUCAAAGAGUCAGUGAAACUGUCCAAAAGAGUUGAAUUUUACCUUCAGACACACAGAUCAGUCUCUUUGGUAACAAUGAAGACAAGAGCUUUUAUAUUAGCUCCAAAUGGCAAGUGGCAACUUCCUGAGCUAAAAAACUUCUAUAACUACUGCAAGAGUGCAAAAAACUGCUGUUCCUCAAGAGUCCAUGAAAGGUUCACAGCAAAAGAUGAGUAUUAAAUAAGAUACUUAUAGAAGUGUUGAAGAGUUUGCAACAGCUGAGUUGACUGACUGUGCAUUAAAGCUGUGUUAAAGCUGAGUCGUUUUUACUAUGGAGGGCAAAGGAGCAAUUUAUAAUGUCUAUAUUAUCAGUUUUUAAUAUUCAAUUCUCAGUACAGUUUUUUGUCAGGCAAGGAGUUGGGCUGCUGAAAAAAAAACCCUAUUAAUGACAGAACUCAGAAAAGAAACCUGCUUGAGUAGCUGGUUAUAUACAGUUUUGGAGGUGAUCUUUGCAGGAGAAACUGAGAGUUAAAGAGCUUAAACCUGUUCAGAAAGAGAAUAACAGGAUCCCAACAAUAGAGGGAAAAUGAGGUUUAAUCAUUGUAAGGAGCUGGAUAGUUCAUCACGCGACUUAGCUAGUAAUACUGGCUUCACCUGCCUCUUUUUUCAAACAUCAGGAUCAGACCCAGCAUGGAUUCAGAUAUGUAGGACCAGUUUUAAGGUACUUAUAAUAUAUGUCUAUAAAGGACAUUAAGCUAAAUAAACAAGGUUCCACAGAUAAUAUACAUUCACUCAACUUUACAUUUACAAAUAAUGGUUUUUAUUUCAUUUAGUACACUGUACACUUUACACCUUACAUAGAAUAUGUGUUUGUUAUACAACCAGUGUGGAAUAUAACAAACGUCACUCUCAGCUGAUCUGUCUCACAGCCCUUAAACCCCUCAGUGCCUAAGCCACCUCUAGAUAAGACAUAUUUCUUUGCCCAGGUGUUGAUCAAGUCAAACCUAGAGAUCUUCACAGGUGCUUUGCCUCUCAGAUCACUGAGUCAUUUUCAUCCAACUUCUGGUAAGAAAGCAAAUAAUGAAAACUAUCACAGUCUUAGGCAACAACUUUGGUAAAAUAUAGUUAUUUGUCUUGUUAAAAAAAAAAAGACAUUUAAAAACCACAAGGAAUUUAGUGGUUAGACACUUUUGAUUACAAUUCCUCAUUCUUGUUUGACUAAUCAUAACAAACCAAGUUUGAAUGAGGGGAAUGACUAAAGCAGAAAACUCUCACUCCUUCAUGUCGGGAAGUCGGUUCUGAUAGGUUUACACGGGGUCAGAUUAAGGUCAUACUGGGCAUCCAUUAGUGGCCUUAUUUAGAGUCUGAUUCUUUUAAGAGGAGUGAUUGGCCAGCGAAGACAAAGAAUCAUUACCUUUGCCCGCCCCCUCCCUGCCAGCAGUCAAUAAUGAGGGAUCAUUAAAAUGAAUAGAUGGACAUUCCCCUUUUCUCCGGAUCCUUAUUGCAAAAUCAGUGUCAGGGGAAAUGAAGAUUGAGCUUGGAGAAGGCGUCUAAAAGCCUCACAGUGAUUGUCGUGAACUCAUCUCCAGUGCCAGGCUCCUUUAUCUACUGUAAGAGUCUGCACCUGCCUGAACUCUUGACUAGCAAGGGCUUUUACUGUAGCCCAUUAAGAGCAUCCCUAAUGUGUGCUACAAUGUACUUCAACGUAAACAUUCUGCAUAUGUCCUGAUACAUUUACAGCAAACAAUAGAAGAGGGAUAGCUCGGGAUGUCUCUGAGUUUUAGUUUCUUUUUGUCAAUGAAGAACUGGAGCUCUCGCAGUGACUUUGAAAAGGCUUUUCAAUGCACAAUGACUUUGAAGUACGCGAUCGUACAAACAGACCCUUAAAGAUAAUUCUCACUUUUCACAUUUCUUAAGCACAAACAUCUGCCGCUGCCACCAACAUUUUUAUAAAACCUUGCACAACAUUUCACGCGUCACAAAAGAGAGAGCAAAUCAAGCUGAAUGAUUGCAGAUGGAGAAUAAAAGACGGCUCAAGAUUUUCCAGGACACAUGUGGUUGCCUUUCUGAGUGACUCUUAAAGUGUCUUUUAAAAAGGUGAUUUAUCUGUUGGUGCACAACCAUGAGACCAUGUCAGCAUGUCAGCGGGUCAUCUGCUGGUCCUGUCACAUUUGAAAUGACCUCAUGAAAGGGGGCUGUGUACACCUGCAAAGCCCCCCCACCAAACCCCACCCUAAACAGAUAAAGAAAACACAUGUAAACACAUGCUAAAGCGCAGACACACAUAUGGUCUUCAUCGUAUUUCUUUAUCUUCUUUAAGGUAAUUGACAAAACGGUCUGUUUAUAGUCAGCUGACGUGUGUCUAAGAAGAAAAGAGCAAUUGGAGACUCAGGGGGACAAAAAAGAAAAGGUCAAAUGUAGAUCUGUCUUAUGGGACAAAACUAUCAAAGGACUCUAAGAAUGGUCAAGUAAUUAUCUCUUAAAGCGUCUCUUAAAGCCACCCCCAUGGUUCUCUCAACAUGCCCUUCAUAACAGAGGCAUAUUGAGGAUUUACUGCCUGCAGAUGGCCAGUAAGAGAACAGGGCAGCAGCUCCAGCACUGUGCCUAUGCACUCACUUUAUAAAAGCUCGAAUCAAGGGCUCUGUGGGAAUAGGAUGGAGGAGGAAGCAGAACCAUAAAGACACUAUAAAAGCCCACAAUGAAACUUCUAAGUCGUGCCCUCUGCCAGGUGCCGUGUGCAGCUGGACCCCGGGGAGAAAAUGGCACGUGCUGCUGUCGCAAUGAUCAGAAGUUCUGGUUUUUGCUUGUAUGUGGGAUUGUCGUCACCGCAGGAAUGAUUUGGUUUGAUUCUGCAUCAGUAAGUUAGUUCGAUAACUGUGUGUCCACUCUGAUGAUCAGCAAGACCACCUGUCAUUCAGUUUAUCAGCCAGUUCAUCUAUUUGGACAUUUGGUAAACUAAUCAGGGGAAUUUUCAGAGUAAAGCCCCCUCUAGAAACCCAUACUAAUAAUCAGCUGGCAUGUUUUUUACUUUUUCUAAUUAAUUUACAUGUCAGUUUUGAUUUCAGUGUCAAAGGUUACUGACAGUUUAAGGCGAUCAGCUCAACCUUGAUCUGGAGACUCUGUCAACCAUAAAAUCUUUAUUUAUAUUCCCAAAGCAUCUUAAAGAGAUGAUGCGCAUUGAAUUCAAACAGAAACAGAACUCAAACACAUCUGAAUCCUGUUUUCAAACUUUUAGGAACCACAAGUAGACCUAUAUACUAAAGAGGUUUGUUUGGCCAGUUGAUGAUAAAUUUAUAAAACGGUUUGUCUGUCAGGUACUGACAUUUUUUUUUACCUUUCUGGUAAGUAGACCUAUUUGAAAUCAUAGUUUAAAAAAAAUAAAAAGGGCUUGUUAUCUUGGAGGAUUUGGAUUUUAAUUGUCUUUCCCAGAUAGAGGUGAUGUAAACUUAGUAUGAUUUAAACACAGCUAACUCCUCCUAUGAGCUAGUUCAGGCAGGCAUCUCAAACAGAACUAAUUUCACACUUGACAUGCUUCAUUUCUACAAACACUUUCUAAACAUUUCUAUCAAAUUUGCAAAAUGCAAAUCUUGAGUUGGAAGAUUUUCUGGUCCCUCUCUCUGUCAUUGCCAUCACCGCCCUGCACAAACUUUCAGUCCUACCACAUCCCCAUCAUCCACCUAGUUUCAGAUUUUAUCUCAUCACUCCUUAAAUUUCUGCAAAUCUCGAAACCUGCAAAGAAGUGAUGAGAACAGACUUUAAACAGUGUUUUGCUGCUUCAACAAAUAUUCUGAUUGUCGGGUUGAUCUAACAUACUUUAUGUUUCUGCAGGAGCCCACUGUGUCCAUCAGAUUUUGCUGAUUGAUUGUUGACUGUCAGCAGAUGACAGCCAGUUUGCUUGAACUGCAGGCUACACACUACAGACACAGUAUGUUGCUAGAGCUGCUCCUGGAACUGGAAAGAAGUGAUAUUUGAAAGUAGUACAGCAUGUUAUUGAAUGUUUUUGCAUGUUUUCUUUGGAUAUAUUGAAUCUGCUGCAGCUGAGCGCUGUAUGAGUAAAGAAAUGUUGAAAUCUAAUGGCACCAUCACACGCGUGUAUUUGGUUGGCUCUCUCUCAUGGUGUUUCAUAAAGAUGUGCAAGCUAGAAGGUUGAGAAGAAUUAGAGCAAACAAAUCUUUAAGUGUGACUUUGGCUGCAGUGAUUUAGGAAGAGGAGGGGAUGGGGUGGGGAGAUUAGAUUACAUCAAUGCUUUUUGGUGUUAUACAGCUAUCUCACAAAGAUUGCACAAAAAGAAAACUCUCCUAUGAUAGCACACAGUUUACCUGCACCCAACGCGAUAAAUGACCCCUUUUACCAACAAACUAAAGCUGUGCAAGUUACUUCUAUCACCAAAUAACUGUCCUGUACACAACUUUCAGAGUAAAAACAGUGCGUUGAAACAUGGAAAUCUCUCCUUAGAGAUUAAAAAAAGGGUCUAUCCAUUUUGGAGGUACAUCCAUUGUAUGUUUAUGCUUGUGACACAGCUUAUUAAGACUUCAACUGAUAUUUUUUAGUGCUUUCUUGGCCAAGCAAGGCUUGCAAAAAAGCUAUGGAUGAGAUGUGCACAAGACCAUGCAUGUUAUAAUGAAAAUAAAGCUGCAAAUGCACAACCUGUAGGGUCCAGUCUGCUGUGGAAACCCAUGCAAAGGGUUACAAAAGUGUAGCAAACUGCACCAGCCCAA
This 8097-nucleotide long non-coding RNA is filed under the name Xyrichtys novacula (pearly razorfish). Lineage: Eukaryota; Metazoa; Chordata; Actinopteri; Labriformes; Labridae. The record is from RNAcentral.